AUUGAACGCUGGCGGCAGGCCUAACACAUGCAAGUCGAACGGUAACAGGAAGAAGCUUGCUUCUUUGCUGACGAGUGGCGGACGGGUGAGUAAUGUCUGGGAAACUGCCUGAUGGAGGGGGAUAACUACUGGAAACGGUAGCUAAUACCGCAUAACGUCGCAAGACCAAAGAGGGGGGCCUUCGGGCCUCUUGCCAUCGGAUGUGCCCAGAUGGGAUUAGCUAGUAGGUGGGGUAACGGCUCACCUAGUCGACGAUCCCUAGCUGGUCUGAGAGGAUGACAGGCACAACUGGACCGGGAAACGGUGCAGGACUCCUACGGGAGGAGGAGGGGGGAAAAAUGGAAAAAGGGGGGAAAGCCGGAGGCAGCAUGCCGCGUGUAUGAAGAAGGCCUUCGGGUUGUAAAGUACUUUCAGCGGGGAGGAAGGGAGUAAAGUUAAUACCUUUGCUCAUUGACGUUACCCGCAGAAGAAGCACCGGCUAACUCCGUG
Molecule: ribosomal RNA, 489 nt
Filed under: uncultured bacterium
Lineage: Bacteria
Description: partial 16S ribosomal RNA
Rfam family: Bacterial small subunit ribosomal RNA
Source: RNAcentral